GCUAAACGCGAAGAACCUUACCAAGGCUUGACAUGGAUUUCUAAGCACGUGAAAGCGUGUGACCCUUCGGGGGACUUCCACAGGUGCUGCAUGGCCGUCGUCAGCUCGUGUCGUGAGAUGUUGGGUUAAGUCCCGCAACGAGCGCAACCCUCGUCUUUAGUUGCCAGCAUUCAGUUGGGCACUCUAGAGAGACUGCCGCGAAUAACGCGGAGGAAGGUGGGGAUGACGUCAAGUCAUCAUGGCCCUUACGUCCUGGGCUACACACGUGCUACAAUGGGCGCUACAAAGGGCUGCAAGACCGCGAGGUGGAGCCAAUCCCUAAAAUCGCCCUCAGUUCAGAUUGCAGUCUGCAACCCGACUGCAUGAAGGUGGAAUCGCUAGUAAUCGCGGAUCAGAACGCCGCGGUGAAUACGUUCCCGGGUCUUGUACACACCG
This 435-nucleotide ribosomal RNA is filed under the name uncultured bacterium. Its description in RNAcentral is "bacterial SSU rRNA". It matches the Rfam family "Bacterial small subunit ribosomal RNA", at positions 954 to 1392 of the family's 1533-position model. The record is from RNAcentral.